ACGGCUCAGUAACACGUGGAUAACCUGCCCUAAGGAAGGGGAUAACCUCGGGAAACUGAGGAUAAUACCCUAUAGGUUACAGACGCUGGAAUGCCCUGUAACCGAAAGUUCCGGCGCCUUAGGAUGGAUCUGCGGCCGAUUAGGUUGUUGUUGGGGUAACGGCCCAACAAGCCGAUAAUCGGUACGGGUUGUGGGAGCAAGAGCCCGGAGUUGGAUUCUGAGACAUGAAUCCAGGCCCUACGGGGCGCAGCAGGCGCGAAAACUUUACAAUGCGGGAAACCGUGAUAAGGGAACCCCGAGUGCCUGUAUAUGCAGGCUGUCCAGGUGUCUAAAAAACACCUGAAGAAAGGGCCGGGCAAGACCGGUGCCAGCCGCCGCGGUAAUACCGGCGGCUCGAGUGGUGGCCACUUUUAUUGGGCUUAAAGCGUUCGUAGCUGGGUUGUUAAGUCUCUUGGGAAAUCUGACGGCUCAACCGUCAGGCGUCCAAGGGAUACUGGCAAUCUUGGAACCGGGAGAGGUGAGGGGUACUUCGGGGGUAGGAGUGAAACCCUGUAAUCCUCGAGGGACCACCUGUGGCGAAGGCGCCUCACCAGAACGGCUUCGACAGUGAGGGACGAAAGCUGGGGGAGCAAACCGGAUUAGAUACCCGGGUAGUCCCAGCCGUAAACGAUGCGCGUUAGGUGUAUCGGUGACCACGAGUCACCGAGGUGCCGAAGGGAAACCGUGAAACGUGCCGCCUGGGAAGUACGGUCGCAAGGCUGAAACUUAAAGGAAUUGGCGGGGGAGCAC
This 789-nucleotide ribosomal RNA is filed under the name uncultured Methanoculleus sp. Its description in RNAcentral is "bacterial SSU rRNA". It matches the Rfam family "Archaeal small subunit ribosomal RNA", at positions 85 to 879 of the family's 1478-position model. Lineage: Archaea; Methanobacteriati; Methanobacteriota; Methanomicrobia; Methanomicrobiales; Methanomicrobiaceae. The record is from RNAcentral.